UAGAGUUUGAUCCUGGCUCAGGAUAACGCUGGCGGCGUGCGUAACACAUGCAAGUUGGGCGACGGAGUCUUGACUGGCGACAGGAAUGGACUUACGGAGCAGCGGACUGGUGAGUAAUAUAUGAGAAGCUGUCCUGCAAAGGGGGACAACAUUUGGAAACGAAUGCUAAUACCCCAUAGGCUGAAAGGUUAAAGCAGUAAUGCGUUGCAGGAGGUGCUCGUAUCCUAUCAAUUAGUUGGCGGGGUAACGGCCCACCAAGAUAACGACGGGUAGCCGGCCUGAGAGGGUGUCCGGCCACACUGGGACUGAGAUACGGCCCAGACUCCUGCGGGAGGCAGCAGUGGGGAAUAUUGGGCAAUGGGAGAAAUCCUGACCCAGCGACGCCGCGUGAACGAUGAAGUCUUAGGAUCGUAAGUUCUUUUAUGCGGGAGAUAAAAUGACGGUACCGCAUGAUAAGCCCCGGCUAACUACGUGCCAGCAGCGCGGUAAUACGUAGGGGCGAGCGUUGUCCGGAAUUACUGGGCGUAAAGGGCGCGCAGCUGUUCUGCAAGUCAGCUGUUAAAUGUACGGCUUACUGUAUUAUGCAGUUGAACUACGGACUGG
This 603-nucleotide ribosomal RNA is filed under the name uncultured rumen bacterium. RNAcentral describes it as "bacterial SSU rRNA". It matches the Rfam family "Bacterial small subunit ribosomal RNA", at positions 1 to 644 of the family's 1533-position model. The record is from RNAcentral.